RNAcentral lists this transfer RNA (66 nucleotides) under Pleurobema oviforme. RNAcentral's name for it is "tRNA-Asn". The record is from RNAcentral. Lineage: Eukaryota; Metazoa; Mollusca; Bivalvia; Unionida; Unionidae.
AGGGAAGAAGCUACACAUAGCAAUUAGCCGUUACCUAAUAGAUAGUGAUUAAACUCACCUACCCUA